UUUUCUGAUCUGAACUGAUGAAGAAAUGAAGUUUCCGCUGACAGUUUGUGUGUUUCUGCUGACGGUGAGCAGGUCACUGUCUGUGGACAUUACAGUGAGAGGAACGGAGGGAGAACCGGUGAGCAUUAACUGCCCUUAUCCAGGAGGAUAUGAAAACUCUUACAAAUACUUCUACAAAGGAGUUUACAGAGAGAGUGUCCUUAUACUACAAUCUCAUGGAAAAAAGUCCUCACCCAGAUUCUCACUGCAGGAUGAUCAUAAGACCAGAUCAUUUACAGUGACCAUCAGUGACCUGAAGAUGGAAGAUGCUGGAACAUACGGCUGUAUCGCUGGAUGGGGAGAAUAUAAACAAAUCCAGCUGAAUGUGAUCAGAGCUCCACAGAGGCCAAAACCUGUCCAGAUCUCAACAUCCACCAUUCGUCCGCAUACAAACACCAGCACUGAACACGCCAGCACUGAA
Long non-coding RNA from Ctenopharyngodon idella (grass carp), 460 nucleotides. RefSeq lists it as uncharacterized. The transcript has 3 exons. The record is from RefSeq and is a predicted model, not a curated record. Lineage: Eukaryota; Metazoa; Chordata; Actinopteri; Cypriniformes; Xenocyprididae.